RNAcentral lists this ribosomal RNA (497 nucleotides) under uncultured bacterium. RNAcentral's name for it is "partial 16S ribosomal RNA". It matches the Rfam family "Bacterial small subunit ribosomal RNA", at positions 28 to 507 of the family's 1533-position model. The record is from RNAcentral.
GAUGAACGCUGGCGGCGUGCCUAAUACAUGCAAGUCGAGCGAACGGACGAGAAGCUUGCUUUUCUGAUGUUAGCGGCGGACGGGUGAGUAACACGUGGAUAACCUACCUAUAAGACUGGGAUAACUUCGGGAAACCGGAGCUAAUACCGGAUAAUAUUUUGAACCGCAUGGUUCAAAAGUGAAAGACGGUCUUGCUGUCACUUAUAGAUGGAUCCGCGCUGCAUUGGCUAGUUGGUAAGGUAACGGCUUACCAAGGCAACGAUGCAUAGCCGACCUGAGAGGGUGAUCGGCCACACUGGAACUGAGACACGGUCCAGACUCCUACGGGAGGCAGCAGUAGGGAAUCUUCCGCAAUGGGCGAAAGCCUGACGGAGCAACGCCGCGUGAGUGAUGAAGGUCUUCGGAGCGUAAAACUCUGUUAUUAGGGAAGAACAUAUGUGUAAGUAACUGUGCACAUCUUGACGGUACCUAAUCAGAAAGCCACGGCUAACUACGUG